This 253-nucleotide ribosomal RNA is filed under the name uncultured bacterium. Its description in RNAcentral is "partial 16S ribosomal RNA". It matches the Rfam family "Bacterial small subunit ribosomal RNA", at positions 524 to 776 of the family's 1533-position model. The record is from RNAcentral.
UACGUAGGGUGCGAGCGUUGUCCGGAAUUACUGGGCGUAAAGAGCUCGUAGGUGGUUUGUCGCGUUGUUCGUGAAAUCUCACGGCUUAACUGUGAGCGUGCGGGCGAUACGUGCAGACUGGAGUACUGCAGGGGAGACUGGAAUUCCUGGUGUAGCGGUGGAAUGCGCAGAUAUCAGGAGGAACACCGGUGGCGAAGGCGGGUCUCUGGGCAGUAACUGACGCUGAGGAGCGAAAGCGUGGGGAGCAAACGGG